This 2471-nucleotide long non-coding RNA is filed under the name Heterocephalus glaber (naked mole-rat). RNAcentral describes it as "lncRNA (ENSHGLG00100036721.1)". The record is from RNAcentral. Lineage: Eukaryota; Metazoa; Chordata; Mammalia; Rodentia; Bathyergidae.
AGCUCCUAGACACACAGGAGAGACAGAUGAUCUGCGUGCAUUCUUAUAGCAGCUGGAGCAAGGGUCCUCCCUAUGAUCUUAGUGUAGGGAGGCCCAGCUAUACCUCAGGAAAGCUAUAAGGUCAUAGCUGUAAGCCUCAGGCAUGGGAUGGGGGACAUUGGUGGGCAAAGAAAUAUAUCAUUCAGAAUUAUAAUGACUGAAACAUUUGUUGAACACAUACUAUGAAUACUGAGGACAAAUAAGGCCUUGUACAAGUGAGAAAACUGAGGCUCAAGGAGGUUAAGUUCACAGAACCCAGUCCACUGUGAGACUCCACUGACCCCUGUUUUUUAUUUUUUGUUCCAUGCCUUUCCCUAUAGGCUUCUCAGAAAGCCUCAGGGCCUUGUUUCUGCAAGGCCUGGCUGUGGAGUCUUGGCAUAGAGGCCUACCCUGCUUCAUGCCUUUCUGGCCUCCCUUAUGAUACUGUAGAACCAGUGAGCUGCCCUGUGCUAGCCAGCCCAGCUUCUCAAGAGCAUGGCCAGCUUGAAGACCAGGGCCUGGGGACCUGACCCAGGGGAGUACUGUGUCCUCACCCUGCCUACCUUUCAGGACAGUGGAAUGGCCUUAAUGAUCCUCUUCUGAAGGGCCUGGCUUGGGCAAGACUGCUCCCUGGAUACCUGGUGCUGUCAAGGCAGCCGUGUUUCCAUGUCUGUCAAGUGGGCUAUGGACACUUCCACGGACUGCUGUGCUAGCUGCAACCACCAUCCCCUUCCCUGGAAGACUCUGGGAUGAAGCCAAACAGGGCAGGAAAGCCCCAGAACAGUAGACACGAUCAUCCCUGCACACACUCACUCAUGCAGUGGAAAUUCACAUAGCCAGACAGUGAGUAUUCCUCCCACUGCCGAUUUCUCUGGCCUAAAUUUAAUUUUUCUUUUUUGUGGUGCUAGUGAUUGAACCCAGGGCUUCGAACAAGCUAGACAAGCAUUCUGUCACUGAUCUGUGUCUCCAGCCAUUUUUUUUUUUUUUUUUGGUACCAGGGAUCAAACUCGGGUCCUUGUGCUUUCGAGGCAGGCGGUGGAACCACUGAGCUAAAUCCCUGGCCCCUCUCUAACCCUUUUUUAAAUUUUUGAGAUAAGGUCUCACUAAAUUGCCCAGACUGGGCUUGAAAUUGUGAUCCUCCUGCCUCAACCUUGCAGAGUCCUAGGUUUAUAGGCAUAUGUCACCACACUCAGCCCAAGGGUUAGUUUUAAUCAGCAGUUUCUUCUCCAUCCUUCCAGAGGUGAUCUCUGUAGACUCAUUUUCUAUUCUAUGGUGCCCCAACUCACCAUGCUCCCAAGAGAAUCCAGGUACAGCUCUGAGCAGCCCUGCAUUCUUGCCUUUACCACACCUCACCAGAGCUGAGAAACUAAGCCCUUACAGAGAAACUUACCACUUACAGACAGAAAUGUAGAGGCUUAGAGGGGCUCAGCAACCUUAGACAUCCUGGCAUUAGGGUCCAUUUCCUCCCGUUGCCUGGUUGUUCUGGACCCGGGGUGAAGAUGCAAGGGAAACACACUCUUGUCUGUAAUUUUGCAGAUUACAAACUGAGGCAGGGUCCUUCCUGGGUCUCUCCCUUAGCAAGGAGGGAGUUGACCAAGUUAUAACAAAGGCUUAAGGGCACGACAUCACCAGCUUGGAGCCAGGCAAGAGCUGCAGUUGCCACUUAAAGUCAGGCUCCAGGAUCCCUGCUUGGGGCCAGAAGCCCCAAGGACAGCAUGCCCAAUGCCACCCAUCCAGGGAGGGAAGAAGCAUGUGGGGACCCAAGCUGAGUUGGAGAGGUCACUUGAGUGGUUGAGCCUCCCAGAGAUACCCACAAGCCUAGGGACCCCAGUCUAUGGGGCUCCCUGGAGUCAGGGAACAAAAGAUGUGUGAAGGCAGCGGAUACCUCAGCAGGUAUGUGGCCAGGGCCCUAGGCCUCCUGUCAGAUGAGUCGGGGAGGGAAUAGUGCUCUGUCUUCUCCAUGUCCCCUUCAAGAAGCAGGCAGAAGCAGCCACCAGAGCUCUAGGAAGGGCUGUGACUGCCCAUAGAGGCAUUGGCAGGACUUGGGCCUGGUGUCCCAGUCUUGUGCUUUCCUAAGCUACCUUGAUUCCUUUUGGAAGGAGAGGAAGAAGAGGUAUUGUUAUCACUCAUUCCUAGGUACUUGGAGCUGAGCAACUUUGGAUGAGGAGAGGUAGCUGUCCUGGGAGGCCAACCUGUGUGUACAUGUCUGGUUGUAGUGUGUUCCUGGGGCCUAUGAUUUGUGGUGUAGUUAGGCCUGCGAUCUGGAUCUAUGUGUUUACAUACUGGGGUUUGGGUGCAUGCUCUAGUCUGGGGCAGGUCAGAGGACCCCCUUGGCUCCAGCCUGCCCCCCACCUGCUGUGGCUGGACUCUGUCCUGGGAAGGUGUCAGAAGCCUUGGGUUCCUUGGUCACCACAGUUCUGUGACCUCUGUAUGGGCCACACAGGGAUGGGAUG